UACGUAGGGGGCAAGCGUUGUCCGGAAUUAUUGGGCGUAAAGCGCGCGCAGGCGGUCGACAUAGUCGGGUGGUUAAGCUCGGGGCUCAACCCCGAGUCACACCGGAAACUGGUGGACUUGAGUGCAGAAGAGGAGAGUGGAAUUCCACGUGUAGCGGUGAAAUGCGCAGAUAUCAGGAGGAACACCGGUGGCGAAGGCGGGUCUCUGGGCCGAAACUGACGCUGAGGAGCGAAAGCGUGGGGAGCAAACAGG
Molecule: ribosomal RNA, 252 nt
Filed under: uncultured bacterium
Lineage: Bacteria
Description: partial 16S ribosomal RNA
Rfam family: Bacterial small subunit ribosomal RNA
Source: RNAcentral